CACCUCUAGUGUACCUGUUGUGGCGCCAGCUGCAUCGCAGGGUAGCUAUGUGCGGAUGGGAUAAGCGCUGAAAGCAUAUAAGCGCGAAGCCCACCCCAAGAUGAGAUUUCUCUUAAGGGUCGUUCAAGACUAGGACGUUGAUAGGCUAUAGGUGUAAAGGCAGCAAUGUCAUAGCCAAGUAGUACUAAUUACCCGUGAUCUUUAGCUC
Molecule: ribosomal RNA, 208 nt
Filed under: Schleiferiaceae bacterium
Lineage: Bacteria; Pseudomonadati; Bacteroidota; Flavobacteriia; Flavobacteriales; Schleiferiaceae
Description: partial 23S ribosomal RNA
Rfam family: Bacterial large subunit ribosomal RNA
Source: RNAcentral